GACGAACGCUGGCGGCGUGCUUAACACAUGCAAGUCGAACGGUAAGGCCCUUCGGGGUACACGAGUGGCGAACGGGUGAGUAACACGUGGGUGAUCUGCCCUGCACUUCGGGAUAAGCCUGGGAAACUGGGUCUAAUACCGGAUAGGACCACUGCCUGCAUGGGUGGUGGUGGAAAGCUUUUGCGGUGUGGGAUGGGCCCGCGGCCUAUCAGCUUGGUGGUGGGGUGAUGGCCUACCAAGGCGACGACGGGUAGCCGGCCUGAGAGGGUGACCGGCCAACCUGGGACUGAGAUACGGCCCAGACUCCGACGGGAGGCAGAAGUGGGGAAUAUUGCAAAAUGGGCGCAAGCCUGAUGCAGCGCCGCCGCGUGAGGGAUGACGGCCUUCGGGUUGUAACCCUCUUUCAGCACCGACGAAGCGCAAGUGCCGGUAGGUGCAGAAGAAGGACCGGCCAACUACGUGCCAGCAGCCGCCGUAA
RNAcentral lists this ribosomal RNA (478 nucleotides) under uncultured bacterium. RNAcentral's name for it is "partial 16S ribosomal RNA". It matches the Rfam family "Bacterial small subunit ribosomal RNA", at positions 28 to 523 of the family's 1533-position model. The record is from RNAcentral.